This 253-nucleotide ribosomal RNA is filed under the name uncultured bacterium. RNAcentral's name for it is "partial 16S ribosomal RNA". It matches the Rfam family "Bacterial small subunit ribosomal RNA", at positions 524 to 776 of the family's 1533-position model. The record is from RNAcentral.
UACGUAGGUGACAAGCGUUAUCCGGAAUUACUGGGCGUAAAGCGCACGCAGGCGGCGCAUUAAGUCUGACGUGAAAUCUCCUGGCUUAACUGGGAGGGGUCGUUGGAGACUGGUGUGCUUGAGGCGAUGAGAGGGGUGUAGAAUUCCCGGUGUAGUGGUGGAAUGCGUAGAUAUCGGGAGGAAUACCAGUGGCGAAGGCGGCAUCCUGGACCGGUAUUGACGCUGAGGCGCGAAAGCCAGGGGAGCAAACGGG